Molecule: long non-coding RNA, 1479 nt
Organism: Megalobrama amblycephala (Wuchang bream)
Lineage: Eukaryota; Metazoa; Chordata; Actinopteri; Cypriniformes; Xenocyprididae
Exons: 3
Source: RefSeq, a predicted model, not a curated record
GCUGUAAUUACGACCUCUACGAGGACGUGAACGCAUUUUACAAGCUAGAAUCUCGUAACUACAGGAAUUACGAGGCCGCGUGAACGCACCUUAAAACCGCUUUAUGGAGAAAGUAGGAAAACAAAAAUUCUCCCAGAUCUCCUCAAAGUUUUCAAGAAGUGAUUUCAACAUAAAAACAAACAACUAAUGAAAUUAAAGUAGAUGUUACCGAAACGUUCCGUUUCCGCACACCCCACAUUUGAGCGAAGUUGACAACACGGAGAUCGCAGAUAAAUAACGCUUUAUUGAAGAGUACACGAAUUGUUCAUUUGGCUUAUUUAUCGGGUCUCUGACUGGGAUUUCCCGUUAGAGAUUUCAACUCGUUCACUUGCCUGGAAUCUCCGUUCACGACCACGAUCGCUCGCGUUCAAGAUGGCGAGGCUUCUUGCUCGAGGAAGACAGAAACACCGGAACGGAUUACUGCAGGAAUCAGCGGAAUGAUUCCCCUCACGAAGACGUUUGGUGUCUGAACCGGCGUUCAAGUGGCCUAGCCUCAACAUCUGCAAGGUCUUUUUCCCAGCUUCCCUCACCUCAUCUCCCCUGGCACAUAAUAACAGCUUCAUUGCUGGUUUGCAGCAGCCUCUGGAUUGUGUCUCUGUGAUUUGCAAGUCUCUGGGGGCCUAAACCCUAGACUUCCUUUUGACCUCCUUUCCUCUACCCCUUUAAAACUGCCCCGCCCAUGAUCCCCAGAAUCCAUCUACUAAGACUGUCAGACCUAAAGACCCAGCCAAAACAAGCGGCCUCUGUGUCAGAGUCCCAAGUUUUCUUCCUGUGAGUACUUACGCCCAGAUGCACAAUAUGAGCCUAUGUGCUCCACAUCUGUAUAAUGACACACAUGGCGAUCUGUUAUUCUUCCCCAUAAUGACCAGGACCUCAGAUUAGACCUCUAAACAUCAGCUACCUCCUUAAAAGGCAUUUAUUUUCCCUUUAGUCUAGCCGCCACACUGAAUUUCAACACUGAGGAUAUAUUGUUUGCUUUAGGCUUUUACUUCGGGAGUUUUUGCUUUUUUUGUAAUGUCACCAUGCUAUCGCGCGUAUACAUGUUGUCUUAGUAUGCUUGGGAAACUAAACGCAGCUGUCUAGUCUAUGAGUGACAGAGAUUCUUUGUGAACCGGAGGUAUGUGGACACCGGUGGAAUGUGAGAUCUUCAUCUAAACCAAACCAAUUACAAAAUAGCAAAGAAGUUUGAGUGUCGUUAGUGGAAUAUGUUUUAAACAAUAUUCAUGUAAUACAUUUUAAAUGGCAUCAAAGUAAACAACAGCACAGUUUCAUCAUCUCCAGGAUUUUAAUAGUACUGGUCCAAUUGGGUCAGUGGUUUUGGUUUUUACUUGCUCUGUAAACAUUUUCAAACCCCAUCACAAAUUGUAUAUGUGUUAUUUUUUAUCAUAUCAUUUGUAUAUGUGUUUAUUUUUUUAUCAUUUUUUUCUUUAUAAUCAUGAC